AUGCCCUGCCUUACCACUCACUCGUUAUCUGUGUGACUCUGGGCCAAUGUUGAAAGCUUCUGAGUUCAGUUCCCUUUCCCAUAAAGUUAGAUGCUGAGUACCUGGCUUGCCUCACAGGAUCCUUAUCAGCGUGCUGAGAUGGGAAGAUGCUGCCAACUCCUGCCUGUAUGUACUAUGUCAUCUCUGUGCAAAACAGCUGCAUGAGAAACAAAAAGGGAAGCUCGUGCGGUGUCCAUACUGAGGAAAAGGCCAGCUCUGACUUCUUGUAGACACUGUGAGCGAAGACCCUGGGAACGCUCAAGCUGGCUCCUGGUCUCCUGUCAAUCAUAUUUGCCUACUGGGGGAGUGUCCAGGCCAGAGGACUUGAAGAAAGAGGUCCAGAGGUCAGCUUUGACUUUGGUGCUUCUAAGAUGUCGCCGUGUUUUAGCCUGGAAUUCAUCAUCUCUCUGAUACAUCAACAUUGACAUAUUACAUCUUCAUCGCUUAUUAUAGAAAAUGGAAAUGAAACCAGAAUAUUGCACUUUGAGAAGUCCAUCUGGAAGUUCACUUUUUUAUAUUUUGCAAAUGCAAACAGAGCUUAUUAUCAAAAGACAAACCCUCUGAGGAAGAAGAGAAACAGUUGGAAAGGUGGGGGUGGGAGGAAGCAAGGAGAGAAUCACUGAAAACAAAUCCCAUGACAGUGUUUAAGGUGAAAUUGGAGAGAUUAAACUCCACUUAUUUUUUGCUUGAUUUGCCAGUCUGCUAGUUUGGCUGACUGUGAAUAUGUUCAGCCGCUCACUCCCUAUCUAUUAAGCUCUCCGUGGAAAGGAUGAGUUUGGAUAGGUGUCAACAGCUGCAAAUGUCACCAAUCCCGUAAUACCUUUGUAGUACUGUUAUCUGAAUAGCCUUGCACAGUCUGCCUGAAGACUCUAGUCACCCCACAGUGGACACCAGAACACUUCUUCCCUUAUUUUGGCCCCAGAAAAACAUGCCUAAGGUUUCGGGAUCCUAUUAUUUGCUGAGAGAAUCAUGUUCUCCUUGAGUUCGUUACAAAGUCACUCUGGUCCUUGGAGAUUAGAAGUUUAACUGCACAAGGCCAUACCUCACUGAGUUCUCUUCAUUUGGACUUCCCACCCGUUUCUGUUGUAGCCAACUUAAUCGCCUUCAGGACUAUCAAGUCAGCCAUCAGACAAGGUGGUCUUUAUUUCCUUCCACACGGUACAGAGAUUAAAGCUGCUUGAUUUUUCUCAUAUAUUCCCUGGCACAUCGACCACAGACUCAGCUGUUAAUGUUUACAACUUCGCCCAAACUUGCAGGUCCUUUGGUCUAACAACCCAUCUUAUCGUACAGUUCCAGUGGUUAAUGCUGUCUUGGCCAUAACAGGUGUUGGAAUAAGCAGUAGCACUCCAGAACUUCUUUGCAAAUUUGGGACUGGGGAAGAGAAAAACCAGUUCCCUUCAGUGUCCAGGGAGAACAGUCAAACUAGACACUGAGGCAUAUGGAAAUCACAGUGUGGGCCUGGUAUGGUAGCCUAAAAGCUGAAGUCCUCCUCUUGCAUGUGCUGGAAUCCCAUAUGGGCUCCAGUUCAUGU
This is a long non-coding RNA of Ochotona princeps (American pika), 1570 nucleotides long. RefSeq lists it as uncharacterized. NCBI's taxonomy places the organism in Eukaryota, Metazoa, Chordata, Mammalia, Lagomorpha, Ochotonidae. The record is from RefSeq and is a predicted model, not a curated record. The transcript has 5 exons.